This 464-nucleotide ribosomal RNA is filed under the name uncultured Klebsiella sp. RNAcentral's name for it is "bacterial SSU rRNA". It matches the Rfam family "Bacterial small subunit ribosomal RNA", at positions 339 to 795 of the family's 1533-position model. The record is from RNAcentral. Lineage: Bacteria; Pseudomonadati; Pseudomonadota; Gammaproteobacteria; Enterobacterales; Enterobacteriaceae.
CUACGGGUGGCUGCAGUGGGGAAUAUUGCACAAUGGGCGCAAGCCUGAUGCAGCCAUGCCGCGUGUGUGAAGAAGGCCUUCGGGUUGUAAAGCACUUUCAGCGGGGAGGAAGGCGUUAAGGUUAAUAACCUUGGCGAUUGACGUUACCCGCAGAAGAAGCACCGGCUAACUCCGUGCCAGCAGCCGCGGUAAUACGGAGGGUGCAAGCGUUAAUCGGAAUUACUGGGCGUAAAGCGCACGCAGGCGGUCUGUCAAGUCGGAUGCGAAAUCCCCGGGCUCAACCUGGGAACUGCAUUCGAAACUGGCAGGCUAGAGUCUUGUAGAGGGGGGUAGAAUUCCAGGUGUAGCGGUGAAAUGCGUAGAGAUCUGGAGGAAUACCGGUGGCGAAGGCGGCCCCCUGGACAAAGACUGACGCUCAGGUGCGAAAGCGUGGGGAGCAAACAGGAUUAGAUACCCCAGUAGUC